CGGAGUUAGCCGAUGCUUAUUCCUCAGGUACCGUCAAAAUUCUUCCCUGAGAAAAGAGGUUUACAAUCCAAGAACUUUCCUCCCUCACGCGGUAUUGCUCCGUCAGGCUUUCGCCCAUUGCGGAAAAUUCCCC
RNAcentral lists this ribosomal RNA (133 nucleotides) under uncultured bacterium. Its description in RNAcentral is "partial 16S ribosomal RNA". The record is from RNAcentral.